RNAcentral lists this ribosomal RNA (254 nucleotides) under uncultured bacterium. RNAcentral describes it as "partial 16S ribosomal RNA". It matches the Rfam family "Bacterial small subunit ribosomal RNA", at positions 524 to 776 of the family's 1533-position model. The record is from RNAcentral.
GACGUAGGGCGCGAGCGUUGUCCGGAUUUAUUGGGCGUAAAGAGCUCGUAGGCGGCUUGUUGCGUCGACUGUGAAAACCCGCGGCUCAACCGUGUGGUCUGCAGUCGAUACGGGCAGGCUGGAGUUCGGUAGGGGAGACUGGAAUUCCUGGUGUAGCGGUGAAAUGCGCAGAUAUCAGGAAGAACACCGAUGGCGAAGGCAGCUCUCUGGGACGGUACUGACGCUGAGACGCGAAAGCGUGGGGAGCGAACAGG